ACAAUAGGUUGCUAAGCCGCGAGGUGGAGCCAAUACCUCAAAAGUUGGUCUCAGUUCAGAUUGCAGGCUGCAACCCGCCUGCAUGAAGAUGGAGUUGCUAGUAAACGCAGGUCAGCUAUACUGCGUUGAAUACGUUCCCGGGGCUU
Molecule: ribosomal RNA, 146 nt
Filed under: uncultured Leptolinea sp.
Lineage: Bacteria; Bacillati; Chloroflexota; Anaerolineae; Anaerolineales; Anaerolineaceae
Description: partial 16S ribosomal RNA
Rfam family: Bacterial small subunit ribosomal RNA
Source: RNAcentral